This is a long non-coding RNA of Oncorhynchus masou masou (cherry salmon), 169 nucleotides long. RefSeq lists it as uncharacterized. The transcript has 3 exons. NCBI's taxonomy places the organism in Eukaryota, Metazoa, Chordata, Actinopteri, Salmoniformes, Salmonidae. The record is from RefSeq and is a predicted model, not a curated record.
AGUCAGACUCAGGGACCUACUGGUGUGGAGUGGAGAGAUAUGGCCCAGACACAUUCCAAGAGGUGCAUCUCACAGUUAUAGAUGGCAUCUGGAGACAUCAGUGUUGGUCCUUCACAGAGAACAGUUACCCCAGUGGUCAUCAUGGUGUGUGUGAGUCUGACUGUGUUGG